AAAAAGUUAUAUUAAAUCAAAAUUAAAGUAUUAAGACACUUUUUGUGUUUUGAUACAUUUAUAAAAAUUCAAAAUUAUACAAUAAAUCAUUAUUUAUAUUUUACAUGCGUUAGAGUAAUAAGGAAUAAAAAUAGGUCAGUCCAAAAUCACAUAGCAUUAAGACACUUUUUGUGUUUUGAUACAUUUAUAAAAAUUCAAAAUUAUGCAAUAAAUCAUUAUUUAUAUUUUACAUGUGUUAGAGUAAUAAGGAAUGAAAAU
Molecule: long non-coding RNA, 258 nt
Filed under: Lathyrus oleraceus (garden pea)
Lineage: Eukaryota; Viridiplantae; Streptophyta; Magnoliopsida; Fabales; Fabaceae
Description: Pisum sativum (pea) long non-coding RNA (PSAT_LNC000541)
Source: RNAcentral